RNAcentral lists this ribosomal RNA (450 nucleotides) under uncultured bacterium. RNAcentral describes it as "bacterial SSU rRNA". It matches the Rfam family "Bacterial small subunit ribosomal RNA", at positions 29 to 524 of the family's 1533-position model. The record is from RNAcentral.
AACGAACGCUGGCGGCAGGCCUAACACAUGCAAGUCGAACGCCGUAGCAAUACGGAGUGGCAGACGGGUGAGUAACACGUGGGAACGUACCUUUUGGUUCGGAAUAACUCAGGGAAACUUGAGCUAAUACCGGAUACGUGCGAGAGCAGAAAGAUUUAUCGCCGAAAGAUCGGCCCGCGUCCGAUUAGCUUGUUGGUGAGGUAACGGCUCACCAAGGCGACGAUCGGUAGCUGGUCUGAGAGGAUGAUCAGCCACACUGGGACUGAGACACGGCCCAGACUCCUACGGGAGGCAGCAGUGGGGAAUAUUGGACAAUGGGCGCAAGCCUGAUCCAGCCAUGCCGCGUGAGUGAUGACGGCCUUAGGGUUGUAAAGCUCUUUCGCCAGGGACGAUAAUGACGGUACCUGGAUAAGAAGCCCCGGCUAACUUCGUGCCAGCAGCCGCGGUAAU